Molecule: ribosomal RNA, 1477 nt
Filed under: uncultured bacterium
Lineage: Bacteria
Description: 16S ribosomal RNA
Rfam family: Bacterial small subunit ribosomal RNA
Source: RNAcentral
GACGAACGCUGGCGGCGUGCUUAACACAUGCAAGUCGAACGGAAAGGCCCUGCUUUUGUGGGGUGCUCGAGUGGCGAACGGGUGAGUACCACGUGAGUAACCUGCCCUUGACUUUGGGAUAACUUCAGGAAACUGGGGCUAAUACCGGAUAGGAGCUCCUGCUGCAUGGUGGGGGUUGGAAAGUUUCGGCGGUUGGGGAUGGACUCGCGGCUUAUCAGCUUGUUGGUGGGGUAGUGGCUUACCAAGGCUUUGACGGGUAGCCGGCCUGAGAGGGUGACCGGCCACAUUGGGACUGAGAUACGGCCCAGACUCCUACGGGAGGCAGCAGUGGGGAAUAUUGCACAAUGGGCGGAAGCCUGAUGCAGCAACGCCGCGUGCGGGAUGACGGCCUUCGGGUUGUAAACCGCUUUCGCCUGUGACGAAGCGUGAGUGACGGUAAUGGGUAAAGAAGCACCGGCUAACUACGUGCCAGCAGCCGCGGUGAUACGUAGGGUGCGAGCGUUGUCCGGAUUUAUUGGGCGUAAAGGGCUCGUAGGUGGUUGAUCGCGUCGGAAGUGUAAUCUUGGGGCUUAACCCUGAGCGUGCUUUCGAUACGGGUUGACUUGAGGAAGGUAGGGGAGAAUGGAAUUCCUGGUGGAGCGGUGGAAUGCGCAGAUAUCAGGAGGAACACCAGUGGCGAAGGCGGUUCUCUGGGCCUUUCCUGACGCUGAGGAGCGAAAGCGUGGGGAGCGAACAGGCUUAGAUACCCUGGUAGUCCACGCUGUAAACGGUGGGUACUAGGUGUGGGGUCCAUUCCACGGGUUCCGUGCCGUAGCUAACGCUUUAAGUACCCCGCCUGGGGAGUACGGCCGCAAGGCUAAAACUCAAAGGAAUUGACGGGGCCCCGCACAAGCGGCGGAGCAUGCGGAUUAAUUCGAUGCAACGCGUAGAACCUUACCUGGGUUUGACAUGGAUCGGGAGUGCUCAGAGAUGGGUGUGCCUCUUUUGGGGUCGGUUCACAGGUGGUGCAUGGCUGUCGUCAGCUCGUGUCGUGAGAUGUUGGGUUAAGUCCCGCAACGAGCGCAACCCUUGUUCACUGUUGCCAGCACGUUAUGGUGGGGACUCAGUGGAGACCGCCGGGGUCAACUCGGAGGAAGGUGGGGAUGACGUCAAGUCAUCAUGCCCCUUAUGUCCAGGGCUUCACGCAUGCUACAAUGGCUGGUACAGAGAGUGGCGAGCCUGUGAGGGUGAGCGAAUCUCGGAAAGCCGGUCUCAGUUCGGAUUGGGGUCUGCAACUCGACCUCAUGAAGUCGGAGUCGCUAGUAAUCGCAGAUCAGCAACGCUGCGGUGAAUACGUUCCCGGGGCUUGUACACACCGCCCGUCAAGUCAUGAAAGUUGGUAACACCCGAAGCCGGUGGCCUAACCGUUGUGGGGGAGCCGUCGAAGGUGGGACUGGUGAUUAGGACUAAGUCGUAACAAGGUAGCCGUACCGGAAGG